AUGCAUGUCUAUGUUCAAAUGGCCUACAAUGGUGAAACCGCGAACGGCUCAUUACAACAGCUAUUAUAUACUUGAUCUUGACGUCCUACGUGGAUAACUGUGGUAAUUCUAGAGCUAAUACAUGCACCAAAGCUCCGAUUUUUUGAAGAGCGCAUCUAUUAGAUUAAAACCAAUCGGGUUCGCGCCCGUCAAUUGGUGACUCUGAAUAACUAUAGCUGAUCGCAUGGUCUUGAACCGGCGACGUGUCUAUCAAGUGUCUGCCUUAUCAACUUUCGAUGGUAGUUUAUGUGCCUACCAUGGUUGUAACGGGUAACGGAGAAUAAGGGUUCGACUCCGGAGAGGGAGCCUGAGAAACGGCUACCACAUCCAAGGAAGGCAGCAGGCGCGCAAAUUACCCACUCUCGGCAAGAGGAGGUAGUGACGAAAAAUAACGAGACCGUACUCUUUGAGGCCGGUUAUCGGAAUGGGUACAAUUUAAACCCGUUAACGAGGAUCUAUGAGAGGGCAAGUCUGGUGCCAGCAGCCGCGGUAAUUCCAGCUCUCAAAGUGUAUAUCGUCAUUGCUGCGGUUAAAAAGCUCGUAGUUGGAUCUGCGCCUCAGGACUUGGUCCGCCCACUGGGCGAGAACUANGCUCCUGGGCUAGUUCUGCUGGUUUUCUCUACGUUGCCUUCAUCGGUCGCGUAGGGUGGCUAGCGAGUUUACUUUGAAAAAAUUAGAGUGCUUCACGCGAGCUUAUGUCUGAAUACUCGUGCAUGGAAUAAUAGAAUANGAUCUCGGUUCUAUUUUGUUGGUUUUCUGAUCUGAGAUAAUGGUAAGAGGGACGGACGGGGGCAUUCGUAUCGCUGCGUGAGAGGUGAAAUUCUUGGACCGUAGCGAGACGCCCGACUGCGAAAGCAUUUGCCAAGAAUGUCUUCAUUAAUCAAGAACGAAAGUCAGAGGUUCGAAGGCGAUCAGAUACCGCCCUAGUUCUGACCGUAAACGAUACCAACUAGCGUUCCGUCGGCGGUAAAUACGCCUUGACGGGCAGCUUCCCGGAAACGAAAGUCUUUCGGUUCCGGGGGAAGUAUGGUUGCAAAGCUGAAACUUAAAGAAAUUGACGGAAGGGCACCACCAGGAGUGGAGCCUGCGGCUUAAUUUGACUCAACACGGGAAAACUCACCUGGCCCGGACACCGUGAGGAUUGACAGAUUGAGAGCUCUUUCUUGAUUCGGUGGUUGGUGGUGCAUGGCCGUUCUUAGUUGGUGGAGUGAUUUGUCUGGUUUAUUCCGAUAACGAGCGAGACUCUAGCCUACUAAAUAGUCAUCGGAUAAACCAGUCCGAAAGACUUCUUAGAGGGACAAGCGGUGUUCAGCCGCAUGAAGUUGAGCAAUAACAGGUCUGUGAUGCCCUUAGAUGUCCAGGGCUGCACGCGCGCUACACUGGAGGAAUCAGCGUGCUGUAACCAUUGCCGAAAGGUAUUGGUAACCCCUUGAAAAUCCUCCGUGAUCGGGAUCGGGAAUUGCAAUUAUUUCCCUUGAACGAGGAAUUCCUAGUAAGUGUGAGUCAUCAGCUCACGUUGAUUACGUCCCUGCCCUUUGUACACACCGCCCGUCGCUGCCCGGGACUGAGCCGUUUCGAGAAAAGCGGAGACUGCUGUUUCGAGACCUUUCGAGGUGGAGAUUCUUUGGUGGGAACCGCCUUAAUCGCAGUGGCUUGAACCGGGCAAAAGUCGUAACAAGGUUUCCGUAGGU
RNAcentral lists this ribosomal RNA (1730 nucleotides) under Contracaecum microcephalum. RNAcentral describes it as "SSU rRNA". It matches the Rfam family "Eukaryotic small subunit ribosomal RNA". Lineage: Eukaryota; Metazoa; Nematoda; Chromadorea; Rhabditida; Anisakidae. The record is from RNAcentral.